ACACAGAAAUCACAGAGAUCCUUCGGGGUGUUGGAGCUAUGCGAGCAAAAGAUAUCAGCCUUUCUCCCGUGUCCUCAUUUCAAUCUGCCAAUCAGAACUCGGCAUUCUCAACACCAGAAAUAUGUCAAACAGAACAAUCAAACUUGGUGGAUUACUUCAAGUUUAAGAAGGGUAGAGACUCUCCUAGCGAGGCACGGAGUGCACUAUUUAGUUGUUGCAGUUCUAGUAGCUUGGAGUCAGCCCUCCAGGAGGUGUUUGGGAAGACAGUUACAUGCCAGAUCAAAGUAACAACACCAAAGCCAUCAUCAGAAAAGCACAUUAUGCAGGGGA
RNAcentral lists this unclassified non-coding RNA (330 nucleotides) under Hevea brasiliensis (rubber tree). The record is from RNAcentral. Lineage: Eukaryota; Viridiplantae; Streptophyta; Magnoliopsida; Malpighiales; Euphorbiaceae.